CUUCCUCGAUCUGUUGCGGCGCGAUGAAGUGGAUGUGGCUGUCGAUGCCGCCGGCCGUGACGAUAUUGCCUUCGCAGCUGAUGAUCUCGGUGCCGGGGCCGAUGAUGACGUCGACGCCGGGCUGCGUGUCGGGGUUGCCGGCCUUGCCGAUGGCGGCGAUGCGCCCGUCCUUCAAACCGAUAUCGGCCUUGACGAUGCCCCAGUGGUCGAUGAUGAGCGCAUUGGUCAGCACGGUAUCCAUCGCCCCCUCGGCGCGUGUGCGCUGCGAUUGCGCCAUGCCGUCACGUAUG
RNAcentral lists this small RNA (290 nucleotides) under Curvibacter sp. PAE-UM. RNAcentral describes it as "5' ureB small RNA". It matches the Rfam family "5' ureB small RNA". Lineage: Bacteria; Pseudomonadati; Pseudomonadota; Betaproteobacteria; Burkholderiales; Comamonadaceae. The record is from Rfam by way of RNAcentral.